RNAcentral lists this ribosomal RNA (504 nucleotides) under Neotricula aperta. RNAcentral's name for it is "partial 16S large subunit ribosomal RNA". It matches the Rfam family "Bacterial large subunit ribosomal RNA", at positions 1817 to 2597 of the family's 2925-position model. The record is from RNAcentral. Lineage: Eukaryota; Metazoa; Mollusca; Gastropoda; Littorinimorpha; Pomatiopsidae.
GGCUCUUUGAAAUAAAUAGAUAAAGAGUCGAACCUGCCCAGUGAUUUAUUUAAACGGCCGCGGUACUCUGACCGUGCAAAGGUAGCAUAAUCAUUUGCCCUAUAAUUGAGGGCUUGUAUGAACGGUUUGACAAGAGCAUAACUGUCUCUUAAAAAUUUUAUAGAAUUUGGUUUUUAGGUGAAGAAACCUAAAUAUAAUUGAAAGACAAGAAGACCCUAUCGAGCUUUAGAGUAAUUAAUUAAAAAGUAUGAUUAAAAUAAUUAAUUUUAGUUAAAAACUUUGGUUGGGGCGACUGAGGAACAUAUAAAGCUUCUUUUAUUAAAAUAUGCCUAUAAGCUAUGAUCCAAAAAAUUUGAUUAAAAAAAUUAGUUACCGUAGGGAUAACAGCAUAAUCUUUUUCAAGAGUUCUUAUCGAAAAAAAGGUUUGUGACCUCGAUGUUGGACUAGGAUAUCUUAAAGAUGCAGAAGUCUUUAAAAGUUGGUCUGUUCGACCAUUAAAAUCCU